RNAcentral lists this unclassified non-coding RNA (337 nucleotides) under soil metagenome. Its description in RNAcentral is "partial contains 5.8S ribosomal RNA, internal transcribed spacer 2, and large subunit ribosomal RNA". The stretch from base 1 to 120 matches the Rfam family "5.8S ribosomal RNA", at positions 35 to 154 of the family's 154-position model. The record is from RNAcentral.
GAUGAAGAACGUAGCGAAAUGCGAUAAGUAAUGUGAAUUGCAGAAUUCAGUGAAUCAUCGAAUCUUUGAACGCACAUUGCGCCCGCUAGUACUCUAGCGGGCAUGCCUGUUCGAGCGUCAUUUCAACCCUCAAGCCCUGCUUGGUGUUGGGGCCCUACGGCUGCCGUAGGCCCUGAAAGGAAGUGGCGGGCUCGCUACAACUCCGAGCGUAGUAAUUCAUUAUCUCGCUUAGGGUGUUGUGCGGUGCUCCAGCCGUUAAAGACCAUCUUUAACUCAAGGUUGACCUCGGAUCAGGUAGGAAUACCCGCUGAACUUAAGCAUAUCAAUAAGCGGUGGA